CCCAGCUGUAGGCAAUUCCCUAGGAUGUGUUGUACCUAGGCGAGUGUCACACUGUUAGAAGAAAAUCAGCCAAUAGCUGGUGGGCAUUCUGGUUCCGAUUAAUGCCAAAUUGGUGUUAACUAU
Molecule: small nucleolar RNA, 123 nt
Organism: Ochotona princeps (American pika)
Lineage: Eukaryota; Metazoa; Chordata; Mammalia; Lagomorpha; Ochotonidae
Gene: SNORA74
Rfam family: Small nucleolar RNA SNORA74
About the family: U19 belongs to the H/ACA class of snoRNAs. snoRNAs bind a number of proteins (including dyskerin, Gar1p and Nop10p in the case of the H/ACA class) to form snoRNP complexes.
Source: Ensembl